Peromyscus maniculatus bairdii (prairie deer mouse) is the source of this 580-nucleotide long non-coding RNA. RefSeq lists it as uncharacterized. The record is from RefSeq and is a predicted model, not a curated record. NCBI's taxonomy places the organism in Eukaryota, Metazoa, Chordata, Mammalia, Rodentia, Cricetidae.
AAACAGCCAGGAUUCAACAGUCUCUUGGGUCUCUUCCAGCCCUCAGUGCCUACAGUACUGACAUGGAUGUCAGUGUCUGGUCUGUCGCCACGCCUUUCUUCCAAGGACAGCACAUGACCUCCACACCAGGGGACAGAGAAACCACCUACGGCUCCAGAGGGACCCAGACCUUAGUUGGCAGCCAAAGAAUUGACCAAGCACAUCGUCUGGAAGCUUCUCACCACAUGGAGAAAGUUGGGCUAUGGAGUUAUCACAAAGCAGAGAUACGAAGUGAGUGGUCUGAGCAUCACCUCUUAUUCUGAGCUACGCUUUCAGCAUAUUUCAAAGACCUAGGGUAGAUCUAGUUCUACCACUUGCAGGUGAAGAGACACAUCACUAAAGGGAGAGCAAACAGUAUUCUCCCUAAAUUUCUGCCUCUAGAAAAGUCCAGUCCCAGAAGAAAACAUUUGAUUCAGCCUGAGGCUUCUAUUGAAUCACAUGAAAUGCCAAGUGAUGCUCACUAACUUCUCCAAACUUUCUAACAGUGGGUUGGAAACCAUAAAGUCGCUUUAGCGUGAAUAAACCACCAUCUGAAGUCCAA